Molecule: ribosomal RNA, 464 nt
Filed under: uncultured marine eukaryote
Lineage: Eukaryota
Description: bacterial SSU rRNA
Rfam family: Eukaryotic small subunit ribosomal RNA
Source: RNAcentral
GUUAAAAAGCUCGUAGUUGGAUUUCUGCGGGGGCGGGGCGGCCGGUUGCUUAUAGCAACUCGAGCUAGCACUUCCCCUGCAUCCUGCCGCGAACCGUGCUACCAUUAGUUUGGUGGCGCUGGGGAUCGGCUCGUUUACUUUGAGAGAAAUAGAGUGUUCAAAGCAGGCCACACGCCUUGAAUAAGUUAGCGUGGAAUAAUGAUAAAGCACUUCGGUUCUAUUUUGUUGGUGUUCGGGACUGAAGUAAUGAUUGAUAGGGACAGUUGGGGCGGUCCGUAUUCCAAAGCGAGAGGUGAAAUUCUUAGACCUUCGGAAGACGAACAGCUGCGAGAGCGUUCCGCAAGGAUGUUCCCUUUGAUCAAGAACGAAAGUUGGGGGAUCGAAGACGAUCAGAUACCGUCGUAGUCUCAACUAUAAACUAUACCAGCUAGGGAUCGGCCAACGUUUAAUUACACCGACUUGGU